RNAcentral lists this ribosomal RNA (504 nucleotides) under uncultured bacterium. RNAcentral's name for it is "bacterial SSU rRNA". It matches the Rfam family "Bacterial small subunit ribosomal RNA", at positions 28 to 531 of the family's 1533-position model. The record is from RNAcentral.
GAUGAACGCUAGCGGCAGGCUUAACACAUGCAAGUCGAGGGGUAUAGUUCUUCGGAACUAGAGACCGGCGCACGGGUGCGUAACGCGUAUGCAAUCUACCUUUCACAAAGGGAUAGCCCAGAGAAAUUUGGAUUAAUACCUUAUAGUAAUACGACUUGGCAUCAAGAUGUAUUUAAAGAUUUAUCGGUGAAAGAUGAGCAUGCGUCCAUUAGCUUGUUGGUAAGGUAACGGCUUACCAAGGCAACGAUGGGUAGGGGUCCUGAGAGGGAGAUCCCCCACACUGGUACUGAGACACGGACCAGACUCCUACGGGAGGCAGCAGUGAGGAAUAUUGGUCAAUGGGCGCAAGCCUGAACCAGCCAUGCCGCGUGCAGGAAGACGGUCCUAUGGAUUGUAAACUGCUUUUUAUAACAGGAAGAAACCCUCCCACGUGUGGGAGCUUGACGGUACUGUAGGAAUAAGGAUCGGCUAACUCCGUGCCAGCAGCCGCGGUAAAGUCGUACG